RNAcentral lists this transfer RNA (74 nucleotides) under Gemmatimonadaceae bacterium. RNAcentral's name for it is "tRNA-Phe". It matches the Rfam family "tRNA". Rfam says of the family: Transfer RNA (tRNA) molecules are approximately 80 nucleotides in length. Lineage: Bacteria; Pseudomonadati; Gemmatimonadota; Gemmatimonadia; Gemmatimonadales; Gemmatimonadaceae. The record is from RNAcentral.
GGAGGUCUACUCCGGACGCCGGGACCUAUGGACUGAAAAUCCGUGUGUCGUCGGUUCGAUUCCGACCCUGGCCA